RNAcentral lists this transfer RNA (71 nucleotides) under marine eukaryotic metagenome. It matches the Rfam family "tRNA". Rfam says of the family: Transfer RNA (tRNA) molecules are approximately 80 nucleotides in length. Their secondary structure includes four short double-helical elements and three loops (D, anti-codon, and T loops). The record is from RNAcentral.
CGGAGUAGCUCAGUCGGUCAGAGCAGCGGAAUCAUAAUCCGCGUGUCGGGGGUUCGAGUCCCUCCUCCGGC